UACGUAGGGUGCGAGCGUUGUCCGGAAUUAUUGGGCGUAAAGGGCUCGUAGGCGGUUUGUCGCGUCGGGAGUGAAAACCUCGGGCUUAACUCGGGGCUUGCUUUCGAUACGGGCAGACUGGAGGUAUGCAGGGGAGAACGGAAUUCCUGGUGUAGCGGUGAAAUGCGCAGGUAUCAGGAGGAACACCGGUGGCGAAGGCGGUUCUCUGGGCAUGACCUGACGCUGAGGAGCGAAAGUGUGGGGAGCGAACAGG
Molecule: ribosomal RNA, 253 nt
Filed under: uncultured bacterium
Lineage: Bacteria
Description: partial 16S ribosomal RNA
Rfam family: Bacterial small subunit ribosomal RNA
Source: RNAcentral